This 448-nucleotide ribosomal RNA is filed under the name uncultured bacterium. Its description in RNAcentral is "bacterial SSU rRNA". It matches the Rfam family "Bacterial small subunit ribosomal RNA", at positions 335 to 800 of the family's 1533-position model. The record is from RNAcentral.
ACUCCUACGGGAGGCAGCAGCAGGGAAUCUUGCACAAUGGGCGAAAGCCUGAUGCAGCAACGCCGCGUGUGGGAUGAAGGCCUUCGGGUUGUAAACCACUUUCAGGAGGGAAGAAAUUGACGGUACCUCCAAAAGAAGCCCCGGCCAACUACGUGCCAGCAGCCGCGGUAAUACGUAGGGGCGAGCGUUAUCCGGAAUCAUUGGGCGUAAAGAGCUCGUAGGCGGUUCAGCAAGUCGGCUGUGAAAGUCCGAGGCUCAACCUCGGAACUGCAGUCGAUACUGCUGUGACUAGAGUCUGGUAGAGGAGAAUGGAAUUCCCGGUGUAGCGGUGGAAUGCGCAGAUAUCGGGAGGAACACCAGUAGCGAAGGCGGUUCUCUGGGCCAGUACUGACGCUGAGGAGCGAAAGCAUGGGGAGCAAACAGGAUUAGAUACCCUGGUAGGCUCUGC